RNAcentral lists this ribosomal RNA (463 nucleotides) under uncultured bacterium. Its description in RNAcentral is "partial 16S ribosomal RNA". It matches the Rfam family "Bacterial small subunit ribosomal RNA", at positions 32 to 505 of the family's 1533-position model. The record is from RNAcentral.
AAUCAACGCUGGCGGCGUGCCUCAGACAUGCAAGUCGAACGAUUAAACUUCCCUUCGGGGAAGAUAUAAAGUGGCGCACGGGUGAGUAACACGUAGGUAAUGUACCUUUGGGUGGGGAAUAACUUAGGGAAACUUAAGCUAAUACCGCAUAAUGCAGCGGCUCCUUCGGGAGACAGUUGUUAAAGAUUUAUCGCCUAAAGAGCAGCCUGCGGCAGAUUAGCUAGUUGGUAAGGUAACGGCUUACCAAGGCUACGAUCUGUAUCCGACCUGAGAGGGUGGUCGGACACACUGACACUGAAUAACGGGUCAGACUCCGACGGGAGGCAGCAGUCGGGAAUUUUGGGCAAUGGGCGAAAGCCUGACCCAGCAACGCCGCGUGAAGGAUGAAGUCUUUCGGGAUGUAAACUUCGUAAGAAUAGGAAGAAUAAAUGACGGUACUAUUUGUAAGGUCCGGCUAACUACG